UACGAAGGGGGCUAGCGUUGCUCGGAAUUACUGGGCGUAAAGGGAGCGUAGGCGGACAUUUAAGUCAGGGGUGAAAUCCCAGAGCUCAACUCUGGAACUGCCUUUGAUACUGGGUGUCUUGAGUGUGAUAGAGGUAUGUGGAACUCCGAGUGUAGAGGUGAAAUUCGUAGAUAUUCGGAAGAACACCAGUGGCGAAGGCGACAUACUGGAUCAUUACUGACGCUGAGGCUCGAAAGCGUGGGGAGCAAACAG
RNAcentral lists this ribosomal RNA (252 nucleotides) under uncultured bacterium. RNAcentral's name for it is "partial 16S ribosomal RNA". It matches the Rfam family "Bacterial small subunit ribosomal RNA", at positions 524 to 775 of the family's 1533-position model. The record is from RNAcentral.